AGCUGAGUGCAGACUCCUGUUCCCCCCAUGGAACACCCCACUGGUUGAGGUCAGAGGGAUGAGUGCAGAGAGAGGAUCGUCACACUGCUGAGGGAGCCCCAGAACAAAAGACUCCAACAGUUUUAUGGACCCUGCUGUCAGGGAGGCCCCAGCAGAAGGACCUGAAGAAGACCUCUGCCCAAGGCUCAGAGAAAGAGACCUGGAAAUAAAGGCUCUGGGACUAGGAAUGCAAAUACGUGAAAGAGAAUGACUGGCCAGAGAGGCCUGAGUCCUUGACUCCGACUCCCCCCCAGAGGCUGCAAUGCCUUGAAACCCUGAGGUUUCGGAUAACUGGGAUGGUAGAAAGGGUGGGUUU
Molecule: long non-coding RNA, 355 nt
Filed under: Equus caballus (horse)
Lineage: Eukaryota; Metazoa; Chordata; Mammalia; Perissodactyla; Equidae
Description: lncRNA (ENSECAG00000052767.1)
Source: RNAcentral